GUAACAAGGUUUCCGUAGGUGAACCUGCGGAAGGAUCAUUACUGAGUGAGGGCCCUCUGGGUCCAACCUCCCACCCGUGUUUAUUAUACCUUGUUGCUUCGGCGGGCCCGCCGUAAGGCCGCCGGGGGGCUUCUGCCCCCGGGCCCGCGCCCGCCGAAGACAUCUCGAACUCUGUCUGAAGAUUGUAGUCUGAGUAUAAAUAUAAAUUAUUUAAAACUUUCAACAACGGAUCUCUUGGUUCCGGCAUCGAUGAAGAACGCAGCGAAAUGCGAUACGUAAUGUGAAUUGCAGAAUUCAGUGAAUCAUCGAGUCUUUGAACGCACAUUGCGCCCUCUGGUAUUCCGGAGGGCAUGCCUGUCCGAGCGUCAUUGCUGCCCUCAAGCACGGCUUGUGUGUUGGGCCCCGUCCUCCGAUCCCGGGGGACGGGCCCGAAAGGCAGCGGCGGCACCGCGUCCGGUCCUCGAGCGUAUGGGGCUUUGUCACCCGCUCUGUAGGCCCGGCCGGCGCUUGCCGAUCAACCAAAUUUUUAUCCAGGUUGACCUCGGAUCAGGUAGGGAUACCCGCUGAACUUAAGCAUAUCA
Molecule: ribosomal RNA, 581 nt
Filed under: Penicillium sp. MAB-2010d
Lineage: Eukaryota; Fungi; Ascomycota; Eurotiomycetes; Eurotiales; Aspergillaceae
Description: eukaryotic LSU rRNA
Rfam family: 5.8S ribosomal RNA (bases 215-368)
Source: RNAcentral